Molecule: non-coding RNA, 108 nt
Organism: Acanthosepion pharaonis
Lineage: Eukaryota; Metazoa; Mollusca; Cephalopoda; Sepiida; Sepiidae
Source: the annotation of a GenBank genome assembly
GCCACAUCAUGUUGAAAUACCAGUUCUCAUACGAUCACUGAAGUUAAGUAAUGUUUAGCCUGGUCAGUACCUAGAUGAGUGACUGCUUGUGAAUACCAGGUGCUGUAA